GACGAACGCUGGCGGCGUGCUUAACACAUGCAAGUCGAACGGUAAGGCCCUUCGGGGUACACGAGUGGCGAACGGGUGAGUAACACGUGGGUGAUCUGCCCUGCACUUCGGGAUAAGCCUGGGAAACUGGGUCUAAUACCGGAUAGGACUCCUGGCUUCAUGGUUGGGGGUGGAAAGCUUUUGCGGUGUGGGAUGGGCCCGCGGCCUAUCAGCUGGUUGGUGGGGUAAUGGCCUACCAAGGCGACGACGGGUAGCCGGCCUGAGAGGGCGACCGGUGACACUGGGACUGAGAUACGGCCCAGACUCCUACGGGAGGCAGCAGUGGGGAAUAUUGCACAAUGGGCGCAAGCCUGAUGCAGCGACGCCGCGUGAGGGAUGACGGCCUUCGGGUUGUAAACCUCUUUCAGCUAUGACGAAGCGCAAGUGACGGUAGUAGCAGAAGAAGGACCGGCCAACUACGUGCCAGCCGCCGCCGUAA
RNAcentral lists this ribosomal RNA (478 nucleotides) under uncultured bacterium. Its description in RNAcentral is "partial 16S ribosomal RNA". It matches the Rfam family "Bacterial small subunit ribosomal RNA", at positions 28 to 523 of the family's 1533-position model. The record is from RNAcentral.